UACGGGGGGGGCAAGCGUUGUUCGGAAUUACUGGGCGUAAAGGGCCAGGAGGCGGCCAACUAAGUCGGAUGUGAAAUCCCCAGGCUUAACCUGGGAACUGCAUCCGAUACUGGAUGGCUUGAAUUCGGGAGAGGGAUGCAGAAUUCCAGGUGUAGCGGUGAAAUGCGUAGAUAUCUGGAGGAAUACCGGUGGCGAAGGCGGCAUCCUGGACCGACAUUGACGCUGAACGGCGAAAGCUAGGGGAGCAAACGGG
Molecule: ribosomal RNA, 253 nt
Filed under: uncultured bacterium
Lineage: Bacteria
Description: partial 16S ribosomal RNA
Rfam family: Bacterial small subunit ribosomal RNA
Source: RNAcentral